ACUACUUAAAUCUUCAACAUCAACCUCAUAAAUUUCAAAUAAUAUUCGGAAUCUAUGGUACAUAUCUAAUUUACCAACUAUCAAUUGUCCCUGUAGGUAAAAGCAACCGUAUCAUCCAAAUUUCAGAGCAAUAACUCCUUCCCUUACCUUAACAGAAAGGGUAAAAUAACUUAAGCCAAAAGACUCGGUGGUUGCAGUUCUCGCAGAUCAGUAUGCUAAAUACAAUCUACAGAUGGUUUACUCGAAAAAUAAGCAGGUUACAUCUAACUGAAUCAUCAACCACAGAGAAAACAAACUCAGCAGCAAAGAUUUUACGUCUAGCUUGAGCCAACCAAGAGUGGUCAAAACAAUUGCAACAUUAGACUCGUCAGGAAGGUCUCAAUUCCUGUAAGGAUGAAACCUUCCACCUGCAGCACCACCAUUACCGUAUGCUCUAGCACCUCCAGUGCUACCCCCGCUUUCAUACCCUUUAGCAUUAAAAGAUGCAGAACUUCUAGCCCCACCAUACCAGCUACCAUCAUCACUGCUUGUGUAUCCUCUACCGCUACCAUACCCAGCAGCACCACCAUAGCUUCCAGGAGCACCAUAGCUAGUGGCUCCGUAUCCAGCUGCCCCAUACAUAGCUCCACUAAACCCAAAUCCAUAACCAUAUCCACCAUAUCCAGAGAAAUAUCCUGCACCGCCUCCGCCAUAACUUCCUCCAAUGUUUCCAUAACCCCCAUAGCCAGCACCAGCGCCGCCGCCGCCAUAACCAGCGCCGCCGCCAUAGCCUCCAUAUCCACCAUAACCUCUACUGUAUCCACCACCAUACGCUCCUUCAGACCCACCAAAGUUAUUAUACGAUCUUGAACCACUGCCACCACGAUGCUGCCUGCUCUCAAUUGCAUUUUCAGCACCAGCUCUUUUUGGCUCAGCCCUCUUAAUUUCAACUUGUUUGCCAUGGAUUUCAUGCAUACGGCCAUUGUUUAGAACUUCUUCAACGGCAUUUUCACUAUCAAAAGUAAUAAAACCAAAGCCUCGGGAUCGACCACUCUCACGGUCCAGCAUGAUUUGUUGCUCCAGAACAUGGCCAUAAGAAGAAAAAUAUUCCUUCAACUCAUCUUCAGUUAAAGUUAAUGGAAGACCGCCAACAAAAAUUUUCUUUGUUUUCGGAGAUCCUUUAACUUGCAUGUCCUCCUUAGGUACUGUCCUCUUCACUUCCACCGUUCUACCGUCUAUGAUGUGCUCUUCCUCUAAAACCUUAUUUGCAGCUUCUGGGUCCGCAAAUGUUACAAAGCCGAAUCCCCGUGGCCUUCCAGAGACCUUAUCCAUCAUUAUUACACAAUCUGUUAUCUCUCCAAACCUGCUGAAAUACUUCCUAAAAGAUUCUUCUCUGGUCUCCCAAGCAAUGCCUCCGACGAAAAGCUUUCCUGCAGAAGAAUCAUCGAGUGAAUGCUUUAAUUCAUGUCCUGCACUACCAUCGUUUCGUUCCUGCUCUUCUGAGAAAUUUUGCUCAGCUACAUAAUCCAUUGGUUCCUAUUCUUUCUCUAACUACGAAGAUACCUUGACAAAUACCAGAGGCGUAGGUAGCUUGUGAAUUUAGUCGAAACUGAAUACUGAGGAGAGUAACGGAAGGCCGAGAGUGCCUGUAAUUGCAAAAACCCUAGCUGCUUUGCUCUUCUUACUGUUUAGUUAGACGGGGAAGUUG
RNAcentral lists this unclassified non-coding RNA (1687 nucleotides) under Hevea brasiliensis (rubber tree). The record is from RNAcentral. Lineage: Eukaryota; Viridiplantae; Streptophyta; Magnoliopsida; Malpighiales; Euphorbiaceae.